RNAcentral lists this ribosomal RNA (157 nucleotides) under Boletopsis sp. CM107. Its description in RNAcentral is "5.8S ribosomal RNA". It matches the Rfam family "5.8S ribosomal RNA". Rfam says of the family: 5.8S ribosomal RNA (5.8S rRNA) is a component of the large subunit of the eukaryotic ribosome. It is transcribed by RNA polymerase I as part of the 45S precursor that also contains 18S and 28S rRNA. Lineage: Eukaryota; Fungi; Basidiomycota; Agaricomycetes; Thelephorales; Thelephoraceae. The record is from RNAcentral.
AUACAACUUUCAGCAACGGAUCUCUUGGCUCUCGCAUCGAUGAAGAACGCAGCGAAAUGCGAUAAGUAAUGUGAAUUGCAGAAUUCAGUGAAUCAUCGAAUCUUUGAACGCACCUUGCACUCCUUGGUAUUCCGAGGAGUAUGCCUGUUUGAGCGUC